GAGACUCUGUGCGCGUGCAUAUCAAUAAGCGGAGGAAAAGAAACUAACUAGGAUUCCCUUAGUAACGGCGAGUGAAGCGGGAAGAGCUCAAAUCUGAAAUCUUCAAGGUUCUACCUUGACGAAUUGUAGUUUAAAGAAGUGUUUUCUGUUAGUGGAGUGGCAAAAGUUCUCUGGAAUAGGACAUCAUAGAGGGUGAGAAUCCCGUAUUUGGUCAUUCCUUCUAGCUUUGUGAUACACUUUCAAAGAGUCGGAUUGUUUGGGAAUGCAGUCCAAAAUGGGUGGUAAAUUUCAUCUAAAGCUAAAUAUUGGCGAGAGACCGAUAGCGAACAAGUACCGUGAGGGAAAGAUGAAAAGAACUUUGAAAAGAGAGUUAAACAGUACGUGAAAUUGUCAAAAGGGAAGCGUUUGACACCAGUGUUGUUUUUCCGAAAAUCAAUUAUAAAUGUUUUGUUUCUGAGGAGUGAUGACUUCAUCGGCUUCCUUCUCUCUUCACGAAACUUUUGUAAUGCACUUUUCGGUUAACAAGUCAACAUCAAUUUCUUUUGUUGUAAAAGAGUAUUCGGAAGGUGGCUUUCUUUUCGGAGAAAGUGUUUAUAGCCCUAUACUUCUACAAUCGGAGAGAUUGAGGUCUGCAGCGUAGAUCCUUCGGGGUUAGAUACAUUUGUGCUAAGUUAUAGCUUUUCAUAGACAACUUGUUGACUAUGUUUAGUCUUGUAGCUUACUCGCUUAUGCUAUUUUACCUACGCUUAGGAUGUUGACAGCAGUAUAGACUGU
This 774-nucleotide ribosomal RNA is filed under the name uncultured Neocallimastigales. RNAcentral describes it as "partial large subunit ribosomal RNA". It matches the Rfam family "Eukaryotic large subunit ribosomal RNA", at positions 23 to 640 of the family's 3401-position model. The record is from RNAcentral. Lineage: Eukaryota; Fungi; Neocallimastigomycota; Neocallimastigomycetes; Neocallimastigales.